This 253-nucleotide ribosomal RNA is filed under the name uncultured bacterium. RNAcentral describes it as "partial 16S ribosomal RNA". It matches the Rfam family "Bacterial small subunit ribosomal RNA", at positions 524 to 776 of the family's 1533-position model. The record is from RNAcentral.
GACGAACCGAGCGAACGUUGUUCGGAAUCACUGGGCUUAAAGGGCGCGUAGGCGGGCUGUCAAGUCUGGGGUGAAAUCCCGCGGCUCAACCGUGGAACUGCCUCAGAUACUGGGGAUCUCGAGUCCGGAAGAGGUUGGUGGAACUCCGAGUGUAGAGGUGAAAUUCGUAGAUAUUCGGAAGAACACCAGUGGCGAAGGCGGCCAACUGGUCCGGCACUGACGCUGAGGUGCGAAAGCGUGGGGAGCAAACAGG